This 906-nucleotide unclassified non-coding RNA is filed under the name Hevea brasiliensis (rubber tree). The record is from RNAcentral. Lineage: Eukaryota; Viridiplantae; Streptophyta; Magnoliopsida; Malpighiales; Euphorbiaceae.
GGCUCAUACGAUCAGCUUAUCUAGCAGUAUCAGCAACAGACUCAAUCUCAAUAUCGCCUGCCACAUAUGUCUGCUAUAGGCCAGCCAUACAGGGAUCAGGGUAUGAAAUCCAUGCAGGCUCAAACCGCUCCUGACCCGUUUGGUAUGCUUGGCUUGCUAAGUGUCAUAAGAAUGAGUGAUCCGGAUCUGACUUCUCUUGCACUUGGAAUCGAUCUUACAACUCUUGGAUUGAACUUGAACUCUGCUGAAAAUUUACACAAAACAUUUGGUUCCCCGUGGUCUGAUGAGCCUGCCAAGGGUGAUCCAGAAUUCACGGUACCACAAUGUUAUUAUGCCAAGCAACCACCUCCUCUAAAUCAAGCGUACUUUUCCAAGCUUCAGUUAGACACUUUGUUUUACAUUUUCUACAGCAUGCCGAAGGAUGAAGCACAAUUAUAUGCUGCUUAUGAAUUGUAUAACCGGGGGUGGUUUUACCACAGAGAACAUCGAUUGUGGUUUAUGAGGGUUGCCAACUUGGAGCCUCUUGUCAAGACCAACGCCUAUGAGAGAGGAUCUUAUAUUUGUUUUGAUCCAAACACAUGGGAGACAAUUCGCAAGGAUAAUUUCGUACUCCACUAUGAAAUGUUGGAAAAAAGACCUGUUCUACCUCAGCACUAACGAGAUUAUGUUCAGUUUACAGUGUACAUUUUUCAGAGUCCUUGUAGGAGUCAGCUAGUUCUCACCUGUAGUGUUCAGCUCUAUUGGGCCUUUUGGCAGCCAGCCGUUGUUACUGUAUUGUUUCUCAAUUAUUAAUUUACCCCUUGUAUUUUAAGAUGCUGCAAGUCGAAAUGAAAAAAAAAUAGGUUCAAUACAGUUCUCGUAUUUUCCCCCGUCAGCUUAACUUUUGCUUAUUGGAAUAACAUUUUU